GGCGACGUGGCCGAGUGGUUAUGGCGGUGGAUUCAAGUGAAUUGAAUACUUGGCUGUUUGAAACAGCUUCCCACUUCAGUAAUGAGCAGGGGUUCGAAUCCCCUCGUCGUCA
Zalaria obscura is the source of this 112-nucleotide non-coding RNA. The record is from the annotation of a GenBank genome assembly. NCBI's taxonomy places the organism in Eukaryota, Fungi, Ascomycota, Dothideomycetes, Dothideales, Zalariaceae.